This 28008-nucleotide long non-coding RNA is filed under the name Panicum hallii. RNAcentral's name for it is "long non-coding RNA (PHAL_LNC000247)". The record is from RNAcentral. Lineage: Eukaryota; Viridiplantae; Streptophyta; Magnoliopsida; Poales; Poaceae.
GCAAGAAUUUGUUUUAGAACUGCAUUUGGUAGGCUAUCCCAUAUUUGGACAGAUCUGUAUGUAUCUUUAGGAGCGUUUGAUUCUCUUUAUUAGCAGAUACCUACAUGGGGUUGAAGAUAAGAUUAUGGAUUGCACUCAUGUGACUUAGGCAUUGGUUAUACAUGCUGUCCAAGCUGCUGCAUAUUUGGGUCGACAACACAUGAUCCCCAAAUUAUCAAUUUGAUAUCACUUUGUUAGCUUUGUGUUGAAGAAUCUUGAGAUUUAAAGCUGGCGCGCUAUUGUAUACCUUAUUUUCUGCGAGUACUGAAGUAUUGAUAAAUGCCUUGGUUCGUUCGAAGGGUAUUUUUCAACACAAUUUUCUCAGUUUAUGAUUUAUAUUAGUUUACUUUGGUAAAUACAGUGGAUAAGAAAGUUUCCCAAAUACAGGUUAGGUGAGCGAAAAAAAAAGAAAAAAAAGGGGGAGACCUCACACAGAAACGAAAGUUACAUAAACGCAGCAGGAAAAGUAAUGACACAUGACCUAAGACCUAAACGGCUCGAUCAAGGCAGCAAGGCCUUCAGCCCUUCUGCUCCUGCAAUGCACCGUAGGCUAGCCUUGUCUAAUAUCUCAGCAGGGCAAGUUGCACACUUGGAGAGGCUCCAUUAAAGAAACAGUUGUUACAGUGUUUUCAAAUCCACCAAAAUCCUAGGAUCACUAGUGAAUUGAAAACUUUCUGUCUCAGGUUUGUCCAGGGCCCUUUCUGCCUCUCGCCACCACACUUUGAACUCAUCAUCUUGCUCAGCAAGAACUCCAAAAGUCCUGCUUUCUGAAGCCGUGUGAUUGUGUCAACCACACCUGUCUUGUGAACACACAGCCAGCCAGAAGGAAAGUAAUCAUUUCUUCUUCUUGGUCACAUAACGGGCACAACUGGGGGUGUGGCAACCCGAGACAUGCCAAUCUAUCUGCCGUGCAGCACCUAUUAUGGAUGGCAAGCCAUAUGAAAAUUUGGAACAUGGAGAAGUCCAUGACUUCCCUAUGCUCUCCAGGGCUCAAACUUCACGUUUCCGACAAAGAACAUCUUAUAUGCCAACUUUGUGGAAAAGUCACCAGAUGCUUCAGCUAAAAUACUGUGGGAAUUAUAUUCUACCUAGUGUCUUAAAUCUUAAGGAACAAGUUUUGUUCAAAUGGUUAAUUUGGCAAGUUAUCUUUUUAGCAAUAGCUUGCCAGUUCUCUAUACUUUUUAGCAAUAGCUUGCCAGUUCUCUAUAUAUGAUAUAGUUUGUUAUGUAUACAGCCCAUAUGCCAAUAAUGUUUCUUAGUCAUAUCCAUUUGAAACAGGUUUUGUGAUCUCAAUUGUGUGUUUUGAAACUUUUUUGCAUGAUUAUAAAGUCUUAUAAUAUAGCUGGGUUAAUAUGCUGUUUGCUCCCUUCCUAAUUGUUGCAGAUUGCUACAUUAACAAAGAAGAACAACAUAUUGGCCCAGAAGUACAAAGAGCAUGUUAAUGUUAGCGCGCAAGUGAGUAAAAAGGCUACUGCCAAACAAACUGAACUUCAGUCCCCUGAAAAAGCUGAGGAAAUAUUUCCAGAUUCUUCAUCAUCACAAACUGAGGUGACUUAUUGUUAUGUCUCAUAUCUUGUUCCGAGUAGAGCACAAAUGCAGAUAAAAACUGUUGUAACUAAAAUUCAUUGGAUUGGGUUUGGCUUGAGUUCGAGUACAUCUGAAGCAGAGUUGGGAUUUGGCUAUCUAGAUAUGCUUCCUUAGUACUUGUUCUGGGCAAAGUCACACUGUUAUUUACAGAAUGCAGGCAGUUAAAUUUCUUUUUACUCUUAACAGCUGAAGUCUUGGUUUAAAUCUAUAUUUACUGCAUGCAUCAAAUGUUCUUUAACAUUUACUCUGUGGUAAACCAACAUGGAGAUUUGCAACCUUUUCUUUUUCUGUCUUAUAUCUGUUCCAAUAUGUAUAUAAUUGUAGUAGUUCAAAAACACUCUUUUUUUCCUUUUGAGACAUAUGCCGUUGCUUCCAGACUGAUUAGUUGUUUGCAGUUUGUCCUUCAGAAGAAAUCAGAUGUAUUUGAAAUGAGUUGUUCUUGUAUUCUUCUUACCAUCAGUACCUUGCAUCAUAUUAUACAUGCAUUAUACAUCUGAUUUUCUGAAUGUAAAGCAUUAGUCUUAGGAAAGAGUCACGUGUAUUGCGUUGGUAAAUGAAGCUUUGACUUGCCAACACAUGCGCAUUUUGGAUCCCUUAUGCCACUUCUUGCAUUGUAGCUUUUUGCAUUUGGUUGGACUAGAGAGUUGUUUGAACUCUUCGCACAUGUCAAGAACAUAACUUGUUUCCAUGUUGUAUCUAGGCGGAGAAACCAGCAGAUCUUCUCUACAAGGAUGAAGUUAAGGCGCACACUUCAGCAGAGCAUGUCUCCACUUCGGAGGAUGACUACUCUUUGGAUGACACUCACGAGACAGUGCGAACCAUAGAGCCAUCACUACUGAACCGGAAAUAUAUUUUUGUGUCAUUUCUAGUCUUGUUGGCUGCUGCUGUUGUAUUCAUGCUCCACGAAGAUGGCAGCCCAGCAUGAUCGUCUGGUUUUGUGCUGACAGAACCUGUAGUGCGAAAUAAAUAGUUAGCUCCUUGGUGUACAAUUGUUUACAUGUCAUCUCUGCUCCCUUUUCGUUCGUCUUUGUACUUUGUAUCCGCUGAAUGUGCAAUUUUGUUUGUUGUAUAUGUAGAGUUGUGCUGGUGCCUUUCAUUUUUACUGCUUCAGUGGAGAGAAAAAAAAAGUUAGUGACGAGGUAUGUUUUGUAACUUACUGGCCUGGAAUUUACUCCUUGCCUAACAGAGAAUGUAUUAGUCAUUCUCCUACUGGAGUAAUUACUGCUGGUAGCCUGGCACUUCCGGAGUGUAAACACUGGAUCUAAAUUGUUUGAUUAUCUUCCGUGGGAACUAUAUUAUUCCGUUGUACAACACAUUUUCAUCGUGCUGCAUCUUCUAAUUUCAGUUUAGCCGUGAGUCUGUACAAAAUCUUUUCCUUCUAAUUUCAGUUUAGGCGUGGGUGGUGAGUCUGUACAAAUUUUUUUUCCUGGAUAUGGUCGCUGACCACUAGUUCCCGUUUUCUCAGACAAGAUAAAUGCUGGUGGCAAAUGUGAUCAUUGAAAUGAAGCUCACAGGCUAGGCAACUGAACUCUGUUGUAGUCAUGAGCCAGAAAAGGCGUAGGGAAUUCAUAUGUUCCACAACACGUGGCAGCCCUUGAAUAGUUGAUUCUGCAAAUAAAAAUACAGUUCCACAGAGCUUCUUGGGAAAAAAAAAACCUCAAAAGUCUUGUGAGGGUCUUCGAAAGGUGUACGUUCUGUUAAAAAUUUAAGCUGCCCGGCGAACUAGCAACAAUAGGUUAAAUUGAGGCAGUCCGUUUUCAAAGCUGCUGGCGACUCUGAUUUGAAUUUCUUAUAAACACUGCCAGCUCGCUGGAAUUAAAGGUAAAUUAAAGCCUCAGCAUGGCGGUUCGCAAUCCGUAUGACUCGAAAAAAUAAAGCAAAAAAAGGAGCAUAAAAACAAGGUUCCACCGAGAUUUGAACUCGGGUUACUGGAUUCAGAGUCCAAUGUCCUAACCGCUAGACCAUGGAACCAAUUUGCUUGCUUUUCCAUUUCAAAUUAUAUUCAUACGAGAAAGAGAACUCGCCCCUCACCACAACGAAGCAUAUCCCUGAAUUAGCAACAACAAAUAAGAGUAUUGAUUAGGAGAGGAUCCGGAAGGGUAACACUGGAUUUCUUCUGUUGGAUCAGCUGCAAGAUAGUGCAGGCUAACACUGGAUCAACCAGUUCAGUCAAGCACGCGAUCAAUAUCAUGUAGCCACGCAGAUACUGUAUUGGUGAAGACAGCUUUGUUUCUUGUAAUUUCAGUUCAUAUAAGAUGUUAGCAAGGGCACAUGAAUGACAAAGAAAUGAUGGAAAGUGAUAGGAACAAGAAACGUCAGGAAAGGAGACAGUCACAUGUUUUGGCUUGAGCACCAUGCGUUGCAGCGUAACACGUGGUCCUAUCGCAAAAGGAAGUCGAUGAAGAACCUACUCCAAUCCUAUAUAUGUGUAUAACCAGAUUUUUUGCUAUCCCCUCCCAUCAAAUCACUAGUGAGUGAAAGAGGUUAAGUACUUAUUUUCAAAAGAAAAAAAAACCACAACGUAAUCGAGCGUCAACAAAAUAGAAUAUUUUCAUCCUGAUAAUUUGGAUAUAGUAAUAAUAACUCUGUUUCAGAUACAUAGAUGGUGCCAUAGUAUAGUAGUGAUAUAAUGAUAAACGAAAAUGAAAACGAGACAAAAAAAAAUAGUCUGCCCUCAUAAAGAACACCCUUUUUCUCAUCUCAUCUCAUCUCUUUAGAUAUCAUCCUGGAUGCUUAAGAGUAGAGCUUGAAGCUCUUGGCGUCAAGGAUGAUCUGCCGCAGGCCUCCAAUGGGGGAGAUGAGCGUCAGCACCACUCCUAUCACGAUACAGAUCUGAUAGAUCAAACAAAAACACGGCGAUUCAGAACAGUAAGAACACGGGCAGAUCUACGACUCGAAUCCAUCAGCAAUCAAAGGCCAAUCGAUCAGUGUGACCGAAAUUCAACUUACAAUGUUGAUGCUCCAUGAGAGGCCGUACUUCUUUGGCUUGCGCAGCAUGAGCCAGAUGAUGCAAGGGAUCUGCACAUACACCCAUCAUGAAACCAGAUCGAUCAGUAAACCAUUCAGGGGAAGAGUGAAAUAUUGAAGCUCAGGGUCCUACGUAGUAUGUCGUUGGAGCAAAUCCGAAGCCGCCGAAGAAGCCGAGAAGGCCGUCGAAGAAGGGGAAGGUCAUGCCGACGAACAUCGUCGCCGCUUCAUACACGCGUUUGAUCAUUAUCAAGUAGUUAUGAUCGAAACUUGUCAGUGAGAUCAUGAGGUGUUUGUUCAAGAAUCAAGAACGACGACUCACCGACAUAGGCGGAGCGGGCGAUCAAUCGCAGCCGAACCCCCGGGGUGAACUUGUGCUUCUUGACGAGCAAGGUCUCGAUCAUGUCGAACACCGGCAUGGCGUACACCUGGUAGCUGCCGACGACGUGGACGACGACCAUGAGGUUGGCGGCGGCGAUAAGCCACCGCGGCCUCUCUAGGGAGAUGAGCACGUUUGGCUCCACCAAGCUUCCGAAGGCGUAGUACCCGCCGAAGGCGACGCAGAAGUAGCAGAGCGCGACGAUGGCGUAGGCCACCACAACGCCGCGCCACAUGGGCCUCUUGGACGGCGUCUCCGGCGUCGACGGGAUGGUGGCCUGGAUCUCCAGCACCACGUUGUGCCCCGCGUACGCAAACGCCACGGCGCCCAGCGCGUUGAGCACACCGAACGCGCGCCCCGUCGCGGUGGACGCCCUGAGCCCGUAGUCGGCGGCGGCCGCGGCGUGGGCGCCCUUCACCGCCGACGCGAAGAAGGCGAUCAUGGAGUAGGUGAGCGACAUGACGGCUGCGGCGGCGGAGACGGCGGAGAUGGAGUUGAAGUUGGGGAACUGGGAGAGCGGGAAGUGGACGGAGCCGAAGAUCAUGAUCCAGAAGGUGAGGCGGAUGUCCCUGCAGCGGCCCUGGCAGACGAGGUCGUGGAACUUGCGGAGGCACUGCCCGCCGGUGACCAUGUAGACGAUGUCGGUGCCGACCUCGACGAUGAGCUGCUGCGGCACGAUGAUCCAGAGACCCAGCCGCUGGCCGAACGCGUGCUGCCCGAGCUCGUGGUACCGGUCGAAGCGCUUGCCCGGGACCAUCUCGUGCAUCUCCACCAUCUGCCAGAGGGUGUAGAGGGUGAUCACGAACGACAUCACGAUCACCACCGUGCCGAGGCCCCUGCAUCAUCAAACCAAUCGGCAAUCGAUCGAUGCCCAUCGUCAUUUCUCAUCGGACAUGUCGAACAGCAGAUCGAAGAAGAAAUUAAAAGGCGUCAUCAUCAGGGGCAAGGUUCGUCGCCUACCAUCCGAGCUGCGACAUGGCGAACGGGAGGCCGAGCACGCCAGCGCCGACCAUGGCGGUGACGUUGUGGAAGGCCGAGUAGUACCACUUGGCCGUGCGCGACGAGGUGAUGGGCAGCCAGUCGUCGAGGUUCUUGAGCUUCUCCUCCUGCCUCCUCUCCUUGGCCGUCUCCGCGUACUGGUCCAUCACGUCCGGCGGCGACGGCGUCCCCAUCUCCGUUUCCGCCUUCCUCUUCGCCGGGAUGAAGCCGGGUCGCGUCGCGGCCGCGCGGCGGCGCCGGUGCGCGCGUCGACGGUGACGAUCGCCGUGCUGGGCUCGGCGCGUGCCACUGCUCGAUCGGUGCGAUGAAUGCGUCACGGCUAUUGACUGAACUAGUGUGGAAUGCAGGUAGGCGCCGCGCGGUUUUAUGGGGGGAUCCGGCGCGAGGUCAGUUUCGUCAGGCCGCUCGGCCUCGUAAAAGAUUCCGGAGAUUCCAUUAGUUCAAUUGCAGAAAGUCAUCCCUCAAAACAAAAAAAGGAAAAAACAAAAUAAGAGAAAUUAAUGUCAGCAGAUUCUGGCCAGCCCACUACUGUAGUAAUUAAUUAUUAUGGUAAAUUACACCGCUUAAUAAGAUGCUAAAAUUGCUUAAAUGCACAGUAAAAAAAUGAGUUGGUAAGUGGUUAUGUGAAAUUGACGCAAUCUUCAUUGUUUCUUCUGGUUAAAUUAGGUUCAUACCCGAAUGUUGCUACGGGUGAAAUAAAUUUUUUAUAUGAGCAACACGAAAUACCUGUAACGUAAAUAGCAAUAGAUGCACACUUUAUCUUAAACAAUAUUCAUGCUCUGUGUAAUGAGCCUACUAUGCAAAUAAAUUAUUGGGGAUGUGUGAACAUAACAUAUCAUCGUAAACGUAAAGUAUUUUAUUUUCUGUCAAAUACAUCAGACGUGACCAAGCUACGAGCUGCAAUCUUUAGUUAUGGAUUAAGACUAGGUUCAUACCCGUGCAUUGCUACGGAUGAAAUAAGUUUCUUAUAUGAGCAACAAUUUUCAUGCUACGAAGUACCUGUAACUUGUAACGUAAAUAACAAUAGAUACACACUUUAUCUUAAAUAAUAUUCAUGCUCUGUGUACAUGAGCCUACUAUGCAAAUGAAUUAUUGGAGGUGUGUGAACAUAACAUAACUCAGCGAUGGGUGUCAACCACGCCUCCUCGCCACCACCUCCUUAUGGUUGAGUAUGCAGUAUCUUCAAACCAUUUUUUUAAGAAAUGCGAAAAUAGAACAUCAGAUUCGGAUAAAUAAUCAAUCGGAAUAUUUGCUACCACCAAAAUUCUUAUAUAUAGAUCCAUUUAGUUUUGCACCAAAUAAAGUCCAUAGAAAACAGUGCUCCAUAUAUUUCAAUUGAGAUGGAAGGAACAUGUGUGCUUCGAUAACAAUGACAACAAUUUUAGCCAAACUUUAUUCCCUUACACCUACUUCCUUGACGCCCACGUGGUACUUUGAAGUGCUUAAAAACUGAAAACUGAAGCACCACAUUAAGAGCUGCUAAGUGUAGCAUAAAAAGUAACAAUACAUGGAUGAGAAAACGGAGUUGUUGAAUAGAAAUUUAAGCCAUAUGAAAAUACACAGAGGACAAUAAUAAAAAAAAACUGUUGCAAUUACAUUGAAGCGCAAAAGCUGAUGUUCUAAGCUACUCUCAGCAAAUUAGGACCUACAUGACCUUAUGGUUUGGCUAGCAAAUUUACCUGCAACAUUUGGACGUUAGAAUUUCAUGACUCAGAAUAAGAGAAAUGAUAAGAAAUAUGAUCACACAUCUGGUAAAGAUGAAACUGUAGGAGCAAAAAAUUUUACCUUCACUAUCCCGGACAUACCGAUCCCGCUCACCUUGUCAGCCUCCAAAGUACGGUUUGCCACAGUUCAGGGAAAGCCAUUGCCAGCUGCAUUUUUAGCAAGUCCCGUAGCUUUGGCCUCUAGCACCUCUCCAGCACCUCUAGCACCUAUGGCACCAAGCAUUUUGCCAUGUUGGCGCCACGUUUACCGGGGACCGCAACCUCGGCGCCACGACUCACGAUGUCGAAACGUGUUGCCCAGGAUUCAAAACCGCAAUAUUUUUCUAGAGAUCUAAAUAUAAAUUUUCUUUAAAAAAGCUAAAAUGUAAAAGGUACGGCGCGGUUGGGCAUGGGAUUGCGGGUGGUGGUAGAGCAUGGACGGACGGGGAUGACUCGAUCGAAUGGAUAGAAUUGUACCACGGCAGAGCGAUCAUAGGAGAAGGUCAGGUUUGCAUCAAGAUUUUUUAUCCUAAUCGUUCUUUUUAGUAGUAGUAGAAGACUUCAUGCUACCGUAUCUUCACAUUUUAUUAUCUCCGCGUCCAUGGCAAACUUUUACUUAGGAUUUGCCCUCAACCAAAAAAAAAACGUUCACUAGGAUAUAGGCGGUUGGUUGGAUCGUAGUUUUGGCUUGGUUGUUUGAAAUCUGUUUCUGCGAACCCCGAUCUCCCGAUUUUAUUAAAAAUAAGUAUGUCUAGUUUUUGGCAAACUAAACGAUCCUAAUUUGUUGUAGCAUGCAUGGCGAACGAGUUUUUUUUUUACAGCCACGUAGAAGACUAUUGCGUUCUGAAAGUAAUUUUUUUUACAACCACUUGGUGUGUGUAGUAGAAGGGGAAUGGAGCGGGGGUAGAUUAAAACCCCGAGCGUUAAACUUUAGUCCCAUAAAUCUUGCCAUCUAGAAGUAUCAAAUAAAAUCUGUUUACAAAAUCUUUUGAACAGAUGAGUACUAAUUCGUGAGACGAAUUUAAUGAGCCUAAUUAAUCUAUGCUACAGUAACCCUUCGUUAAUUAUAAAUUAAUAUAUCUCAUUAGAAACCCUUCGUUAAUUAUAAAUUAAUAUACCUCAUUAGAUUCUUCUCGUGAAUUAGUAUAGAGAUUCUGCAAUUAAUUUUGUAAUUAGAUUUUAUUUAAUAUUUUUAAAUAAGAUUUUUUUGAUGCGGCGGAGCUAAAGUUUAGUUUCAAAAACAAAACACCCUCUAAGUGUUCAAAUAGUAGAAAGACAAAGAGGGGGGUUGGGACGACCACGGGGGACUACUUUUGGUGUCUUUUGCUGUCUUCAGUCCUGCACAUGCGGAUUAGCGAGCCCCGGCGACGAGCAUCUAUGCCAAGUGUACAUCAGCUGAGACAAAGAAACAAAGGAGUGGAAAUUAUUCCACCCUCAAUAAGAUGAGAUAUUGAGAUGCUAAAGGUGCUCAGAUGAGCCAUCAAGUUACAUUUUUCUAAGGCGGUGCUUAAAAAUGUUGAAAUGCCUGCAAACUUUAUGACCAGUGUAAAAUGCGGAUGCAAUUUAUGUCAGCUGUUCCAGCAAACUUUACGACCUGUGUAAAAUGGGCAGAAACGGUCCAUCGAAGCACCUGACAUCUUGACAAGCUGAGAAGAGGAGAAGGGAGAACGGGAUGCACGAACCUGCUUGCUGGCUUGGGAUUUUGUACUCCAACUGAGAUUCAGGUUAGAGACCUGUACAUACCUGCACAACAAAGCUCUCUUCUCGCUCCAACAACACGGAAAGACUGUCAAACUCUUGAAAAUAUGCAGAUUAGGCGCAGGGGCUAAAGUUGCCUUUUGGGUUGACACAUGGACUGAUUUUGGACUACGAUGUGAGAAGAAAAUUGCAUUUCAUGUUUAAGAUUCAAACUAAUUAAUCAGCCACCCGCCCCUUCAGUCAAAUUCUAUCAAAUGUCAUGUGUGUGUGUAUAUAUAUUUGAACGAACAGCACUUGACGAGUGUGUUUCUAUUGAUAUCAAUAGCAGAAAAUUAGAAGAUUAUAUCCCUGAAAGGUCAUAACCAGGCAAAAAAACCACAGAACCAGCACCGGCGGGUUGGAUUGGGGCAUCAACGCACGCCGAACUCAAACACUACUCAACAACUCAGGCUGGUUGGAGCGGGGUAUCAACACAACCCACACAACUCGUCUCCAAAGUCAACUCUGCCCGGUCAGAGAAAACUCCACAUGACAACCACAGCAGAAACCGGAGCUCGCAGCACCCACCAAAAUAUCCACACUCACGUAGUCGCACAGAACCUCCAGACGUGACCCUGCGUCAAUAGGGAACCGAAAGAUGCAGACCGCACCGCACCAGGAAGAUCACCGCCAUGCGAAACCCUCUGCCGCUGUGCCGCUGCAACACCACCCUCCACUUGAUGGAGUGCUAGAAGGCUGCCUUGCAGUCGCCACCACAAUAACACAACGCGCGGGGGCCUCGCCACUUCCGCCGUUGGACCUCACUCUCGUCGCCUCGAAGAAUCACCACGCACGGGGGUCUCGCCAUGCCCGCCACAGUUCUGUUUCUUUUGUUGCCAUCAAAGUGGUGAGCGAUGUUGCCCCUGGUCCCUAGAUCUCCAUCAAUGCCGAGCCACCGCCACAGGCCGACCUCACCUACAUGGUUCACCCGCGCACAUGACCUCCACCGCCGUGCCAGCAAGCCGAAGACAUCGCUUGCAGUAUCUUCCGACGAUGUACCAUACCGGAAAGCCCAGCCAAGCUGAGCAGCCCACCGCGGUCCGCUACAAGGCAAGUCAUCCCAUGAUGCCGAUGCAGCAAGCACCGUCCUUCGACGCAGUCCCGUGCCCCACUGACAGGUGCCAAGCAACGCCAGUCGCCGUGGUCCGCUUCAAGCAGCCACAACCGAUAGACAUGCGACACCCUUCGGCCGCCACCAUGACUGCGAACGCCAUCACGAGGGCUCGGCAACACCCGUUCAGCUUGCCACACGGCGGAAUAGCCCACCACCCGAUGCCGCCCAUGAACAAUGGACCAGAAAUACCUCAAGCCAGAUGAAUCUCUAGAGACGACGCCUCCAAAGAGGACACGAUGCCAAAAGGCGUCGCCGUCGCUCAUCCAGGAUCUAGAUAGGGUUUUCACCCAAAGAGAGCCAUGCAACAAGGUUUUAGCUCCAAGAUGACGCCCCCAACAGGGAAAGUGACGCCCUAGAGUGCCACCGUCAACUCUACUAGCAAGAAUGCCAGCAAGGGCUUUCGCCCGGAGCAUUCCAACCCCUCGCUACACGCACAUGGCUUGGCACCCCGGACCACAGCCACGGUAGCCCAUCCGGGGCGGCUCCGCCGCUGCGCCUCCAUGCACCAUGGAGCUGACCUCCACCUUCGCUAUGCUCGUCGCUCAGAAGCGCUCGCCACACGCCGCCGUGCUGGCUCGGCCGGAUCGCCCCGCCGGAGCAAGCGAACGCAGUAGGUGGCCUGACGCCCCCAGCCACGCCACCAUGGUGCCGCUAGCAUGCCCACACAGGCCGCCACAAGUCGCCCCUCCAUGGCGCCGCCGGCAAGACCACGCACAGGCCACCCUCAGCCACAGCACUACGCUGCCGCUGGUCCUUCCGCAGUGCCCCCUGCAGCGCGUACCGGACCGCCACUCCCGCUCCUCCUCAGCAUCAGCCCGCCGCACCACCGCCGCUGCCACUCCACUUCUGCCGCGACGGAUCCAGUCCUGCCGCCACCGGAUCUAGCCACGCCGGCCGCCAGAGUAUUGUUCAUGCCUGGCCUCCACCCGCACCGUCGCUCCUGCCUGGCCUCCCGCCGCAGCCGCGCGCCCACCUCGUCGAGGACGGCGCAGCUCCGUAUCCCGCGCGGACCCCCGCUCGCGCGGCCUCCUCGCCAAGCCCCUGCACGCCGGGCCUCGUCGCCCACGCUCGCACGCACACGACGCCUCCGCGCCAGCACUCGGCUCCCGCUUGACGCUGUUGCCGCCGCCCCCGUCGGCGGAUUCGGCCACGGGGACACCGGAUCCGCGCUCGCUGGCGCCGGAUCUGGCCACCCACGCUGAUGCCGCCACAAGCUGCCCUCUCUAACGGCCGAGGUGGCCGUGCCCGCCUGGACGCGUGGGAGAAGAGCGCCACCCCGCCGCCGCCAUCCUUGCGAGCCGCACGGACUUUUGGCCGCUGGUUCGAGUGGUGGCGCAGCGGAGGGAAGCGAGGGAGGAAAGGGCGGCGGUGGCGGCGUUCCGCCUGCCCGUGUCGCCCAAGCGGGGGAAUAAUCAUGAGCUCUUUUCAAAUUUGUAUAUGCACCCCAUGCAUGUCAUGUAUAUAUGGCUUGCUGGCUUUUCCCAUCCCAUGUCAAUCAUUCAUCCACUAGCAGUCUAGCACUAAUUCAAGCAUUGUAAGACUUUUUUUUAGGCCUGAAUCUCGUCUCGUGGGAGAUAACGGUGAGGUGGAAACGAGCUUUACCACUGGAACACCCGCGCCGCCGAUGGCAGCAGCAUCGCCGCCAUCUCCCACCCUCUCUAUGUCUUGUGCGCUCGCCUGACGGACUCGCGGUCGAUUUUGGGAGACGGAAGGUGCCCGGCCCAUAUUCAUUCCGGAUUCGAAGCCUGGUGCGUGUGUGAAUUGGCGGGCCGCUCAGUCCCUCUUCUUCUCUCCUCUGCUGGACUGACGCCAGAUCGAGCCCAACAGGCCGAGGCCCAACCGGAGUCACUCUGCUAUCGCUGACUAGUGGGACCGUGGCUGCCGCUUCGUCUUUCUUCUCCGCCCUUCGCCCUCCCGUGGAGCUGGGGCUCUCCCUCGGCCCUCGCUGCGCUGCUCCUUCACCUCUGCCGCACUGCGUUGGUUGGACGCAGCUUGCGAAGGAGAGGAACACGCUGCGCCGGCCGCCUCCGCAAGCCUACCCUGUAGGCGAUGCAGUUUGUCUGAAUCCUAAUCCGUAAUCCCUCACCCUCCAUGGCCGACGCGCUCUCCACCGGCUUCCGCGGGAGCUUCUGCUACGGCCGACGAGGGAGUUAGGGCCGUGCGUGGCUCGCAGAGGAUGCAGCGCCUAGGGUUGGACAGUGUUCGCCGCCGGCGGCCGGCUGGACGAGCCCGCCGGCGGCCAUGUCCCCCCCACCCCCCAGCCCCAAGUAUUUAUUUCACAAAGGCCCCAACCUCAAUUAUAUAUUUUCAUAAUACCCCUAGUAUUUACAAAUAGACCCCUAAUUUGGAUCGCGAUUCAAAUAUUUACAAAUACCCCCAAUAUAUUUACAAAUGCCCCAUAGUUUGGAUGUGAUUAAUAAUCGCGAUCCGACUAUUUGCAAUUUACCCCCUCAUUCCGGUCACGAAUUCAGCGCUGUCCCUCAUCCAGGAUCCGGCCCGUCCGCCGACGACCUGCCGCCGUUGUCCUCCCACCUUCAGCGCCAUGCCAGCUGAGAGCUUAGAUCCCCUUAUCCACCAGAAGCAUCAAGCCCAGGAUCCAAGCCCUCCCCGCAGCAAGUCCUGGACAUGUCGGGCAUCGGUGCAGAGCGAGCACGUCGAACAGCGACGCGUGCGCUUGAGCUCGCGCAUCCGUCCAUGGCAGCUUGGUCGAUACCGCACAUCCUCUGAUGUUAUGCAACACAGCACGUCCGUGAUGAUGCUGAUCUCUGUCCAUGUAAGCUAAAUUUCUCUCCUCUCGCCGUCGCCGCUUGUGUUGUUUGUUUCUGACGAAACGUACGACACUUAUGGAUUAGCUUUGAUCCAGCGUUGUCAACUACUACGUACCUGCAAUUCAUUUCUUCAUAUAUUUGCCUCAGCCUAUGCUGGUCCAGCCCUCUUUGUAUCCUUUUACCAUGCGAAAGUAGCAAUCGCAUUACCUCCACCAUAUCAAACUUUGACAAACCUGCCUAGUGUUCUGAAUUCUGCUAUUUCUUUGAAGCGAUUUCUUUGACAAACUUUGAUCUUCUGAACAUCGUCAAAUUCAAUGUAUGGCGGUACGCUCCCUCACAAUUGCAACAGUAUGGUUGCUAUUUCUUUCAUUGCACAUGGUUAAGCUGCUCUGAAGCUGGCAUACUUUGUUCAAUUUCCCCAAAUUCAGACUGAAUCCACCACAGCUAAACAUCUGAAAUAAUUCGGAUCAGAGAGUUGCAACCAACAGGUGUCAUUUUGAUGGGCAAGGUUGUUUCUGAAGAAAGUUCCAGUUGUAUGGGUGUUAUCCCUUCUGAUCUUUCUGUGGCUCUACUGCAGGCACGCCGAGGGCAGAAGUAUGUAGGGGAAGAGACUGGCAGCCGCUGCUCUGUAGAGGUACUGCAUGCUCCUCAUGCUGUCUGGGGAGCAUUAGGUGGCUGGGCUUCCGGUGAGAUGACAACGGCCGAUGAUCCUCCCUGCUUGGAGCUGGAGCUCGAGCAGGGGCGGGCGAUGCUUCCCAUGGCCUUGGCCCGCUCCGGGAGCGUGAACUUCUGCACCUUCCCCGUCGCCAUCUUGGGCAGCUCGGCCACGAACACCAUCGUCCGUGGCGCCAUGUAGUGCGGCAGCCGCGCCCGGCAGAAGUCCAUCUCCUCCUCCGCGCCCACGCUGUCGCCGGCGCCGCCUUGAGCGUCACGAACGCGCACGGCGUCUCGCCCCAGUACUCGUCGGCCCGCCCCACCACCGCCGCCUCCGCAACGGCCGGGUGCGCAAACAGCGCCGCUUCCACCUCGAUCGUGCUGAUGUUCUCCCCACCCGAGAUGAUGAUGUCCUUGGACCGGUCCAGGAUCUUCACGUACCCAUCGCCGUGCCUCACCGCCAGGUUGCCCGACCGCAGCCACCCGCCGGCCAUCGCCUCCGCCGUCGCCGCGGCAUCCUUGUAGUACCCGCUCAUCACCGUGUUGCCCCGGAACAUCACCUCCCCCAUGGUGCGCCCGUCCGCCGGCACGCUCCGCAUGGUCACGGGGUCCUUCGCGUCCACCUCCAGCCCCUGGUGGUGGAGCCCCUUGCGGGACUUGAACUCCGCGCGCUCCGCCGCCGGCAGCGCGUCCCACUCCGGCUUCCACGUGCACACCGUCGCCGAGCCGUACGUCUCCGUCAGGCCGUACGAAUGGAUCACCACGAACCCGAGCUCCUCCAUCCGGAACAGCACCUCCGGCGGCGGCGGCGCGCCGCCUGUCUCGAAUGUGACCCGCCUCCCUCCGGGCAGCGGGCGCCGCUCCUCCGCCGUGGCGUUCACGAUCAUGCUCAGCACCGUCGGCGCGCCGCCCAUGUGGGUCACCCCGUGCCGCGCCAGGCUAUCGAAGAUGGCCGCCGGGGACCCCUUGCGCAGGCAGACGUUGGUGCCGCCCUGCGCCGCCACGCCCCAGACGACGCACCAGCCGUUGCAGUGGAACAUGGGCACGGUCCACAGGUACACGGGCGUCGCCGUCAUGUCGUUCAGGAGCACGCACGCGAGGGCUUUGAGGUACGCGCCGCGGUGGCUGUACUGUACACCACGCCCUUGGGCCGCGACGUCGUCCCCGACGUGUAGUUCAGCGCGAUCGGCUCGUUCUCGUCGGCCGGCCACCGGAUGGCGAAGUCCGGCGAGCCGCCGCCAGUGCUGCACAGGAGGGACUCGUACUCGAGGUACGGGUGACCAGCUGGAACGGUUGGCUCGUCGAGGACCUCUCUGAUCAGCACCACAGUGGGGGGCCUUGCUCCAGCUUCGGACAUGAGCCGGAGUGCUUCUCGGGCGGUGUCAAGCAGCGCGUAGUCGACGAACACCACCUUGGCCUUGGAGUGAUGGAGGAGUACGGACGCCAUGCCGGCGUCGAGGCGCGAGUUGAGCGCGCAGAUCACGCCGCCGGCCACGGGGAUGCCGAAAUAGAGCUCGCAGAACGCAGGAAUGUUCUGCGCGAAUACAGAAACCUGCAAAACAACGACACUCACAGUUGCCACUUGCCAGUGAUUCGUACAGGUGGAGGUGGAGCGUGUCGAAAAAUGCCAGCUGAAGCGACGUGGCUUGUUUCAAAAAAAAAAACAAGAAGAAGCGACGUGGCAGGCACAAGAUUUUACCACAUCGUGGCGCUCGACGCCGAGCCCGGCAAGGGUGGCGGCGAGGCGGAGGCAGCGAGCCCGGGUCUCCCGCCAGUUGCGCGGCGGCGCGGCGGCGGGGCGGUCGGGGUAGACGAGCGCGGCGCGCUCGAGGAAGCUGAUGGGCGCGAGCGGCGCGUGGUUGGCGAUGCACAGUACGGUGCCAUCCAUCGCCUCCGGCGAGGGCCUGGGGUUCGGAUCGGAGGAUCUGAUAGACUGUAGGGAUAGAGCGAGCGUUGGUCAAAGAUUUCCUUUCGCAAUAUAUCGAGUGGCGCAGCGACGGAGACGACGACGUGUGAAUGUGAUGAUGGCCGAGCACUCGAGCUGAAGCUGAUGCUGAUAGGGUCUCAUCUUAACACACAUGUUCCAUGUCUCCUCCCCAAGAAAACACAUGUUUCAUGAGGACGAAAAGGCCGGCCAAUGCGAGCUUUCCCGAUCCCUGAACUCUCUGGAGGCGGUGCGUGGCUUGCUGGUUGCUAGCGUUCUAGUCACGAGACUCGCUUAUCCAGUGGCCUCGCCCUCGCCGCUGCUGUUGGGGGGAAUGCGGCGCUGACACCCGCGCGCGCCGGAUGGCAUGGCGCUAUCACCGCCGUUCCGUGUGCUGCUGCUGCUGCUACUCGUCCAGCGUGCCAUCCCCCACUAUGGGCGGUGUCCGCGCGCGCCAUUCCUGAUGGGGCAUGUCAAGUGGCGUAGCUCGCCCAACAUUUUAGGUGGGGCAGAGGAAACUGUAACCAGAGCCAACACUCAAACUUGCUCUUGCACCCCGUCAAUAGCUGCUACCUGAGCUGGCCGCGCCGCUCCACAUCCUUGGCCGUGCCAAGCCCAACUGCCCAAGCAGGAGCAUGCAUGCUGCCGCCGGUGCCCCUUUGCAGCCUUGCUCUUCCACCUCCUCCUCCAUGAAUUGAACGCAGGCUCGUCGCUCGGCCAAGACCGGCGAACGGCGCCGCGGCCGCGCAGCUGCAUGCCAUGGCUGCGGUUAGGGUUUGGCGGCGGCGCCCGUCGGGGUCGGCCGGAUGGGAGGCCGGGAGGGGUGGCGUUCGAUUCGACUGGAGUACGAAGCAGCGAGCGGUGGGUAAAAAACGAAUGAAUUUGAUGUUGCGGUGGGCCAAAAAUUAAUUGGGCCAUCUAUUUGGACCCGAGAACACACCCGCUUGCAACCCAAAACAAACUCAUCUUCCUCCUGCAGUCCUCCAGCCAUCAGACUGCUCUGUUCGCCGCCUCCGACCUCCAGUUCGCCGUUCCUCCGCCCUGAACGCCUCCACCGGUAGCUGGGGCAGCUGCCCCACCCUGCGGUAUGGGGAGCUACGCCUCUGCGAUGUGCCGCGUGAUCCCAGCGCCAGGAGACUUUGCGGUCGACCUCCCACGCGGACACGGCAGGCGGAUCGAUACGGGACGCCGCUGGUGGUGGUGGUGGAGAGGUAGGAGUAGGACCCUAUCGCUCGUAUGCGCCGAUCCCCCUCGGAUCGGAUGGAGGAGAAGGACGCCGUGAUCGGAUCCCACUCGCAAGCGCCUUCUCGCUGCAAGUCUUUCCUCUGGUUGGUACACCAUAGCAGGCUAAACACCAACGCUUGCCCCUUCUGCGGACAGCGAGAGGAUGUUCUGCACCUCUUUCUCGGCUGCCAGCGUGCUCAGAGUUUCUGGAACUCUAUUGGUGUCACUUCUACUCUCUUGCAGGUUGAGCUACUGUAGAAAUUUGAUCUGCCUGACCCGAGUUGUUCCUGUGAGAAGAUACGCUCUACUGUUCUUACAGGAUUUCUGUAGAACGUUUGGAGAUGCAGAAAUGCCAAAGUCUUCAAUCAAGUCCUUGCAUGAUGUGAUUCUUGGCCGAUGCUCCUCAGACCUUCUCCUUUGGAGGAACAGAGUGACUACCCCUGUGGAUAAACUUUUUUUUUGAAAGGCCUGUGGAUAAACUUUGUUUAGAACAAUGGAGUGUUUUCCUGUCAUGUAAUCUGUAAUCCCUCUCUUGACGUGCCCUUUUUCUCCGGUCUGGCCUUUGGGCCUGCUUUUCUCGGUACUUUUGAGCAGGAUUCGUCUUUGUAAUCUUUGGCGUUCUUGCCCCUAUUUCAAGGUGAAAUGGUGAUUUUGUCCCUACUUUUUGUACUAUGCGAAUUUAUCCCUAUUUUUUUAAAUGAAGGAAGGGUUUUUUCCUAUUCCGUAAAAACUAGUUAACGGUGUUAAAAUUGUUUUGAAAAGAUCAAUUUGCACUUGCGGAUUUGCCCUACUAUUAUGUGAAUUUGGUGAUUUCACCCUUAUUUUAAAUAAAAGAGGUAAAAAGAAUUCUCUUAAGAAAAUUCAAACCAGAUUUUUAUAACUUUCAAACAUGAUCAGAUAAAUUUUUUAAAAUUUUGGCAGCAACAUGACGCAACAUGCAUUUAAUUUCUAGUGCACAUAACUUGCAUAUGACGAGUUUUAUCUAUACUCGUAUGUAGCUAUUCUCACUAUCAGAAUACCAUCAUGCGUAUGUUCACAUACUCAUUUAUCACUUUGAGUAUGUUUAUAUACUUAUUCUAAGUUACUUCAAAGGGAUAUAUACGAAAAAUUUCAAAAGCAUUCCUAUUUUUUAAAUAUAUAUUAUUAUACCUUAGUACUAGUAUAUACCAUCACAGAUGGUCUAGUAUGAUCACAUAAACCUUGUACAUACUUUUCAUUGGGUCAGAGACGUCCUAUAUUAUGAGAUACACAUGUAGAAGUAGCUACAAUGUAGGAGAUACACAUGUAGGAGAUACACAUGUAGGAGAUACAUCAUGAUGUAGGACGUACUGACCCAAUGAAAGAUAUGUACGAGGUGUAUGUGAUCAUACUAGACCAUCUUUGAUGGUAUAUACUUUAAAUAUGUGACCAUACAUGGAGUAAAUGGACAUACUUAUUUUUAUAUACUAGUACUAAUAUAUAAUCAUGAUAUAUUUAAAAAAUAGGGAUGCUUUUGAAACUUUUCGUACAUAUCCCUUUGAAGUAUCUUAAAAUUAGUAUAUGAACAUACUCAAAGUAAUAAAUGAGUAUGUGAACAUACGCACGAUGGUAUACUGAUAGUGAUAGUAGCUACAAGCGAGUGUAGAUAAAAUUUAUCAUAUAUAUAUAUAUAUAUAUAUAUAUCCAACAAAAGCACGAUAGCAUAUAUAUAUAUAUAUAUUUUCACCAAAGGCAGCAGAUCACAUUCCAUCAUAUCCAAAUAAGGGUACUAUCAUGUCCAGAUCAUAUUCCCACAUGCAAGUCCAACAAAAACAAAGUAGUAGAGAGCUUAUACAAAUCAAAUGGCAAACAUCACAUUUAAGAAUCUAUACUUAACAAUACGGCCAAACUCCCUGUCCUUCCUUCUCUUCCUCUUGCUCUUCCUCCUCCCUUCCCCCUUCCUAUUCUACUUGCUCUUGCUCCUACUCUUCCCCUUCCUUUUCCUCAUCCUCUUGCAGCACUUGCACUUCAAGGUAGUAAAAUUGUGUUAGUGAUCAAGUUGAUAGUAAAUCAAAGAAUAAAGGGAUCUUAAUAUGCAAAAAAAGUGUGCUAAUCCACCACUCACUUUGAUGUUUGUGGUACACUUGGUCACUACUCUCCUCUUCUAGUCCAUUUUGUGAAGAUGAGAGUUUUCUCUGACUAGCAGUGGGACCUCCCUGACAAUGCUUAGCUGUAUGGCCUAGCUCAUGGCACUCAGAACAUGUCUUCAUAGCUGCUAUUCACUUGCUGCCACAAGUGAAUGUGUGUUAGAGUACAUGGCCUCCUCAUCAACACCUACACUCUCAUAUGUGGCUCUCUUCUUUUUGGAUGUGGAAGUGCGCCUCACAUUUAUGGCUGUAUUAUUUCUAGCUCUCUUAAUUGUGGGUGCUCUAUUUCUUACAGAAGGGUGACACCUACGUUUCGUUGGUGAAUGUUGCAAUGGACCCUCAAAAUCAUUUAUCUGGGCAAAAUAUGAACUAUUCCUUUGUCUACAUUUAUCUGGGCAAAGUUUUAACUUGCAGCCAUGACUUGGACCCCCCAUCUGGUAAGCUGAAAAAAGACCGAACUCUAACAACCAAUUGCAUAUCUCUAUGAUUUAACCUACAAAUCACAACACCGAAUAUAAAAUUUGCUAAAUCUCUCUCUAGAGGCUAUAUCUAAUUCACCCUAUAAACCGAUUUCAAUCAAAAUCUACAGAAAAAUAGAGAAAUCAUGAGCUUACCUUGAUUUUUCCAUGUUGAGCAGGUCUAGACAGCCGUUAGCCCGUGCCGAGGAAGCCACGUGAGCAGAGUCGGGUUGCUGCAACGCCUGGGCGGCCGUGCCGACGCGCGCCCACACCCGUGCCUGGGCCGCCGCGAGCUUUUGUGUGUGGAGCGGCGCGCGCCUGCACCCUGUUGCCACACGCGCCCGCGUGUGCGCCCCCGCCCAUGUGCGCCAGUCACGCACCCUUCCCGCGCACCCCCGCCCGAGCACGCCUGGUGCCGCUGCCUCCGCCUGCUAUACCCUGCGUUAUGGUUCCAAUGGAGAUCUCUGGAACGCAGAGUUUGGGGAUGAGAAAGGAGAGAGCUCUUAGAUAGAGUUAAGGGUACUACCAUCUUUUCCAUUACUCUAAAUUUUUCUUCAAUUUAUUUUUAUUUUUUCAGUGGGCCCCAACUAGCAGAGUUAAAACCAGGGCUAAACGGUGCCUUCAUUUUAAGCUAACCAGCGACAUAUAAAAGAAAACAGAGGGAGUAAUAAAAAUUUAUGAAUCUUUCUAAGGAAAUCCAUUGUUGGUUAUUAAUGAGCCUUGCUUUGGUUAUUUGUGAGCCCUGCUUUCCUUUAGUUGUCUCCCAAGCAACAACAAAUUAUUUACAUUAACUCCCAUAUCAUGGAUCUUCUUACCUAUCAGUCCAUCCGCAAUUGCCUUCCUAUGGAGUACUUCUCAUCAGCACAAAAUGCCUAAUUUGUGGCAAGGCAAUGGGCUGGGUUGUUUUGUAACCACGUGUUUAUUUUUCACUCAUCUAAUCAAUUAAAUAAAAGAGGUGAGUGCACUAGAUGGCAUAUUACAUAUUCAUUGCUUUGUUGGAUCAUUCACCUUUGUGUCUUUUGCAAUCAACCUUUAUCACAUAAAUCUGUUUCUUCACAUGUGUGAUGAACUUAUUUCUAAUGCCAAAUGCAUGAACACUUGGCAUAUUUCCUUAAUUUAUCUAUCCAAAAUAACCCAACAAUGGUUGCACAUCACCUAUCUAUCAUAUACGUGUGUUACUAACGUUUUCUUAUGGAUGUGUUGAUGCUUUUUAUUAAUGGAUCAAGAUUGCUUUAAGUAGAAAGGAAUUGGCAUGUCAUAUAUUUAUCCCUUCGUUGGAUUCUUCACCUUUACGUCCAUUGUAAACAUCCUUUAUCAUAUAAAUUCAUGUAUUAAAGUGUGCAACACACUUAUUGCUCAUGUCAAAUACACGCAUGUCUUUCGUAUUCCAUUUGAUUUACUUAUCCAAAUGAAGUAAGCAAUGGUACACGUAUUGAUGACUAGAUGACACAUCACAUAUGUGUCAUCUUUUGUUGCUAACUUUUUAUUUGGCAUAUUGUGUUUAUGCUUUCAUUUAUGGAUUAGUUGUGUCCCUAUAAAUAGACAAUCAUAUGUGAUCCCUUCUCAUGAAAUUAAGGUAGUCAGACAUCAAGUUCUUCUCUCUUUUUUUAGAAAAAAAGACUUUGAAGGUUUGCAAGUGUAGAAAGAUUAUGUCUGGCUUGGGCCAUAGAAGACAACCUUCUGUAAUUCCGGAGGAUGCCGCCAUUCUACAGUUCGAGGAGGUCAUCAUGGUGGAUGACACCAUAACUGAAAGCCAGAAAAGGUCACCAAAAGAUGAUACACCUUAUGUUGGCACUGCUAAAAAGGUAAACAAUAAGAGCAUCUUGGUUGAUGUGAAGGGAACAAAUGAUAAGGAUGGAGUCAAGGAUCUGGCAGCACAAGUGAAAACUACUCUUGAAAUUAAGGACAUUUAAGGGAAGAAAAGCAAAACCCUCUACCUCUAGCAAUAAGCUAAAAAAGGGCAUGGGUGUGUGCGCGUGAGUGUAUGUACAUGUGUUCAUGUUUCACAUGAACUGAAUAAAGUGUGUAUCCUAUUACAACUAUGUUAGUUAUUUCCCGCUAUCAAUAUGAUAUAUUUUCAUCGUGCUAUCAAGCCUCUCUAGAGACUAUUAAAUUGUUAUUUUAUAUAUGACUAAUAUCUUUAGAUAGAGGACAUGCUGAACUAUAGCUCUUGAGAAUAACUAUGCAACCACGCAAAUGCAACAUAAUACCAGUUAUGGACUUCUUUUGGAGGAGGGGAUGUUGCAAAGGUUGGAAUUGUUGAAGGUGGUAGUGGGGAGGGGGCGCAAAAUGGGAGGGGGGAUUCUAUUAGAAAUUUCUAUAGGAGGUACACUUAAUUGUUUGUAUCAAGUAGUCAAGCGAACUAAUGAGCCACGAGCUUUUUGUCCAAUCCUAGUUCUAUAAGAAAUUCAUGUUGGAGGUACACUUAGUUGUUUUGUUGCGAUUUAGUCAUCAAAUUGAGUAUAGAAGUAUUAUGAGUCCUCAUGUUGUCUUUUUUAUAUCUAGUUGUUAUUUUAUUUUUCACACAUUUAUUUGGCCACGGAUGAAAUCUUCUUCCUUCAUUGAAGGAGCAAAAUAGCAAACAUGUUUAAAAUUAUUUUGGUGUGCAAGAAGCUGUCUGAACUAUGAUCCUGUCACUGCAAGUGAAAUUGAAAUGAUCCUCUCACUAUAAAUUGAAGUAAAAAAUAAGCAGAAGUAAAUGAUUAUAUAUAGCUUACCAAAUAAAUCGAAUUCAUUGCACCGUAACUUACUUUUGUCAUGCUGUUUAUUUUUACUAGAUUCAUAUGUUAUACUAGAAAUUUUACUAAAUAAGUGGUGUUAUCAUUGUUAACAUGUUUCUAUUAUAUCAAAAUCUUUGCAUUUUAGAAUUUAACAAGAAGAGAUGCUUGCCUUUGCUAAUAGGUUCUUUGUGAAUACCGAGACCUUUGUAUUUGAAUCGCUAACAGGAGAUCUAACAAUGGUAUGAUUUGUAUUGUGAUUGUCAAUAUAUAGACACAUAUAACUUAGACAACUAAUCACACGUAACACAUUUAGCUCCUAUGCACCCAAAGAAGCUGAAAGACUUAAGUACUAUGGUAUUUUUCAAACUGGCUUAGCUCAUUUCGGUUUCAAGUCCAAUGGAAACAACCACAGUAUCAUUACGUACCAGAGAAGAAGGGAAGUAAGGAGAUAGCUCACAAAAGCAGUCAGUACAUCAUCUAAAACAUAAACCAUCCAUAUGUUUUCAAAAUAAAAGGUAACGAGCAAAGAUAUCAGCCAAAUAGCUAUGACCGAGAAAUAAUAGGUGCUAAGUUACUUAACUUUUAAAUUUCAAUGAACGGUAUUUAGUGUGUUUAUUUUUGAGUUCUCGCCUUCUAGAAGGCUUUGAAGGAAGAGCAACUCAAGACGAUGGAGAAAGUUACGAGCCAGUAUGGUCCAAAAUAACAAUGGACUAAUUUGGGUCGUGGUACUCUCUAGUGAGAACAUUUCUCGAUCAACUAAUUAACCGUGGUUGGACGUAGUUCUGGUUCAUUUCUCCUAAACAUUUUAGUUUACUUUAUCAAAUUUUUGGAAUAGGAAUUGCAUUCCUACGCAUCACAUUUGCUGCAUCCAUUCCUAUCUUCCCAUUCCCAUUCCCGGUUUUUUAGAACCAUUCCUAUUCCCUUUUCCGUCCCAGGAGAAGACGGCGUCGUCGCUCGCCUCGGUGUCCAGGCCAAAGCCAAAUAAACGGCGUGACGAGAGGCGAGAGCGCAGCGCCCCCCCGCGGCCAGGCCACCGCACCGCGUCGUCGUCGUCCCCAGCCAACCCAACCCAGCGCAACCCCCAAAACGAAUCCAACCCCACCUCAGCCGCAGCGCGGCGCGGCGCGGAGGCCCCUCCCCGGAAUCCCAGCGCCGGUGCGCGCACGGCACCCGCAGGGCGCGGCGCGGCCAUGGACAUGGACAGCGUGGAGUGCCUCUCCCUCCCGGACGCCGCCAUGGACGUGGACGACGUCGACACCCACCCGCACCACGGGCACCACGCCCACCUCGGCCUCCCGCUCCACCCCGCCCACCUGCCCUCCGCCGGGGCCGGCCGCGCGUUCCCCAAGGUGAAUGCGGGGGCCGGGGCGGCGGCGGCGGCUGCUGCUGCUGCCGCGGCCGCGGCUGGGGCAGCGGCCGCGGCAGGAGCGGGCGGGGGCCCGCCGGCGACCAGCGUGCACGAGCUGCUGGAGUGCCCUGUCUGCACCAACUCCAUGUUCCCGCCCAUCCAUCAGGUGGGUACCUCGCUCCGGCUUCUUCGAUUUCAGAUGGGUUGCGUGCGGAUUUGGGGAUCUCGGUGGGGGAAGCCGAGAUCUCGACGGACGCGUCGAAUCAAAUUGGCCCAUUCUUGCCGGAUUGCCGUGCGUCGAAUUGGGGAUUUUUUUGCUCGCUGAAAGACUGGGUCAUUUAGCUGCGAAUUAAUUGCCAUUAAGAGGAGUAAUUGGACGCGUUUGGAUUAGUCAACUGUAAAACCAUCUGCGAAUUGGGGCUUUCCUUGUCAGACGAUUUGGUCACUUUCGUUAGAUUUGAAAAAGGAACCGUGUGUGACACUUUGGAUCUGGGUUGGACGCGUUUUGCUACACGGAUUCUCUCGCCAAACGGGUGUAUUUGGAUUUUUCGAGGAUACAAACAUUGCAUUUGUUGUUUUCCCUAGCUGCAAAUACUUUGGAAUGGUGGGGAACAAAAUGUCGAGAUGCUUAUUUGUUGCUUCGCGGUCUCUUCUUGCCCUCUUAUUGUUAGUAAUCUAAAAUGUACUGGGAUGCUGUCGUUUUUUCUAGCCUAACAUGGAAUUGUGAUACUACUGCUGAACACAAAUAAUCUCGAUUAUGACCUUCUGAAUUGUUGAGAACAUCAUUUUGAUGGAGCAGGAGAUGAACUAGAAGAGAACAUCAGUACACUUCUGUCUGAGAACCCAAAUGUCAUGAUAAUCCAUCUAUCAUGCUUGAUAUGGUCUGGGAUGACCUUACCUUUGAGCUCUGUCAACAAGACUCACUCGUUAAUGUGCUGAGCCUUGAUUUUAUUUGUUUGUAUUGAUUGGUUAGCUGAUCUGCUAUUAUUUUUGCAGAAAUAGCUGUUGUAAAUUUGUAGCUACUUUUCCAUUCUUUCUAGCUUUGUCCCCAUUGAGUUUAGUGAUGAAGAAAUUGCAGCUGAGCUAAAUGGGAGGGAGAGAAGUUGCUUCUCUGUGUACGUUUUCAGAGACAUAUUCGUUUGAUUGUCCAUAAAUUGUGCACUGGAUUCAUCUUCUUAUGUGAGACUGUGUACUGAAAAGAUUUGUUGAAGGCAGUUAAGUCUAACAUGUUUGAGUAAACACAUGAAAAUCUGCAGCCCCUGUACCCCACAUAGCGGUGGAACUUUCUAGGGUCCACCAUGAAAAAACAUGUCAAACAAGCAGUAGGAUACAGUAGGUGUCACCCAUGUAGUAUACGUUGUCCCCUCUGUUAUUUUGCUAAAUUUAAUUUUAUAUGCAUAUCAGUACAUAAGUUUAUGUUUCAACCUCUACAGGUGCCUUGCAUAUGAUCAUAGUCAUUAUAAUUACUGUUUUAGUAUGUGUAGCACUAGAAUGUAAAUUCAGACAAGGGAUAGGUAAUUCCUCCUCUUUUAGAAAAAAAACUGGUUAUUUGAUGUUUCUGGUUGUCGUGAAUGGGCCUGCAUAACUGUUGCUGUAUGUGUUGUUUACUUUUGGGUUAGGGCAUUAGAUUUAUUACCUAACCGUUAGUUCAUACAUAUGAGCUCUGUUUGGACAUGAGCUGACAUGUUUGGGGAUGUAUGCAUAUGUUUGAACAUUAGGUUGACAUUCUUUUUGGACGUUUGAUUUGAAGACCUGCAGUAUGGCCAAGUGUUCUUGUCUAUUGACAAAGUAAACUACAUUUUAUUUCUGUAGUCUAUUUUUGACACUCUUGUGAUUCAGAACAAGAAAAUAGAAAUUUGUUCAGCUUCAUGGGACAGAAAUAGGACACGAUGGGGAUGAAUAGAUAUGCAUCUGGAAUGAGAGUUAGGUUAAGUUUGUACUCUUACUGUCAGGUUUUCUUAUGGUUAUCAAAACAGUGGGAUUGCCUCCAUUUCGGGCCAAACAAAAAACCUUGAUGAAGUGAAUAUGAAUGGAUGUGUCCAUUCUAAUCUCCUCUAAUGUGGCAUGACUGCAUGAGCAUUUCCUUGACCCGCAGUUGUUUAAAACAUGAUUCAGUGACCCACGCAAAAUUUAGUGUAUUGAAUUGAUACUUAUAGUUGAGAAACAUCAAUCGUUUCUUUUGUAUCUGUCAACAUAACAUUUUCUUGUAUUCUGUUUUGCAUAUAGUGGCAGCCUAGGUGAGACCUUUACUUCUGUAAACUGGCUACAGAUGUUCUAGUUUCAAGGAGACCGAAAAUAAACUCUGUAUAGUUUGGCAUGCUGUCAGUUCUUAAGAUUUACUAUAUCUUUGUUAGGAAUAGUUGUCAGGCUACGUCAGUUGUCAGCCUAAGUAAAUACGUCUUUGUUAAGAUGUAGGGGUAGCUGUCUGACUAUCUCAUUUUCACUUGGAUGGAAUUAUAUAAGCCUGCUGGCAGGCUGUGCAGCUGCAGUUUUAGAUAGUAUAUUUUAGUACUUGAAUGUUUAGUUAGAGAGUUGCUCUACAGAUAAGUUUCGAUUCUUUUCCUAGGAUGUUUGCCUGUCUCUAUUAAAGACAAGGUAAAUUGCUUUGAGAAGCAUGAAGGAAGUUAUCUUUCUACCUUAUUUGUCUCCUCCCCUCCUUGUGCACCUCAUCCACUGGCUUCUUUGCACAAUGCACACCACCACCUUCCACCAGGGCACCACUGCACGGGAGACCCUACAGUAUCCACACUUCUUAGCUUUGUUCAGAUCCAAUAAAGUCGGAGCUGGCCAUUGCCAGUUUUCCUUUUUGAAUCUUCAGGGUUUUAUUUUGUAAAAUGUAGGUCUAUGAAAACCAGUUUCCUGUAUGGCUGUACAUGCUAUUUUUGUUAUAUUUUGUAGGUGAAUACAAUGAAAAGUAUAAAGUACAGACAAACAAUGUGGAAUUACUCUUGUGCAGGGUGAUUUCCAAUAAGCUAGGCAAGCAGAGAGGUGUCACCUACUGCUUAGUCCUUAAUUGCCGCAUGGGUGUACUAGUUGGCUAUUAAGCGCUCUGUAGGCACCUUUUCAAACAGCGUUGUAUUUAUGUAACCUGUGCUGUUUGUUCUAUGGUGAAUGUUGGUUAUCCUCUGAAAAUGUGGAAGCACUACAAUUCAGAAGAGACAUUCCAGUUAUUUUCUGAUGCUAGAUGCAUAUGUAAUACAUUAAUAGAACAGCUCUAUUUUUGUGGCGCUAAAAGAGAUCAUUCAUCAAAUACAUCUGUUCAGUAGAGUAAUUUGAUAUUUGACAUGUAUUUGAUUUUUUUACAGUGCCAAAAUGGACAUACUUUGUGUUCGACGUGCAAGGCCAGGGUGCAUAACCGGUGCCCUACAUGCAGACAAGAGCUUGGUGAUAUCAGAUGCUUGGCACUGGAAAAAGUAGCAGAGUCACUAGAGCUUCCCUGUAAGUACUGCUCUUUAGGUUGCCCCGAGAUCUUCCCAUACUACAGCAAGAUAAAGCAUGAAGCGCAGUGCAGCUUCAGGCCAUAUAAUUGCCCUUAUGCUGGCUCUGAAUGUGCUGUGUCUGGUGAUAUUCCAUUCCUUGUUGCACAUUUGAGGGAUGAUCACAAAGUCGACAUGCACAGUGGCUGCACAUUCAACCAUAGAUAUGUCAAAUCCAACCCACGAGAGGUUGAAAACGCCACAUGGAUGCUAACAGUAAGUAUUAAACUAGCGAGUUAUUCCAUCUCUGAUAUUUACUUUCGUUUUCUGUUCUUUGAUUAAGGAGUAAGGUGUAGAAUAUGUACUCUAAAUUAAUCUGACGUGUUCAAUGUUUCUUUUUCGAUCAGGUAUUCCAUUGUUUUGGGCAGUACUUCUGCCUGCACUUUGAAGCCUUCCAGCUCGGAAUGGCUCCAGUUUAUAUGGCUUUCCUCCGAUUUAUGGGGGAUGAGAAUGAAGCAAGGAACUAUACAUACAGCCUAGAGGUCGGUGGUAACGGUAGGAAAAUGGUAUGGGAAGGCACUCCAAGGAGUAUCCGUGACAGCCAUCGCAAGGUUCGGGACAGCCAUGACGGCCUCAUCAUCCAGAGGAACAUGGCGCUGUUCUUCUCAGGCGGUGAUAGGAAGGAGCUGAAGCUGAGGGUGACUGGCCGGAUCUGGAAAGAGCAGACCAACCCGGACGGAGCCUGCAUUCCGAACCUUUGCAGCUGAGCAAAGGAGACGAUUGAAAAGAGAGAAAAGAUUGUGCUAUUUGGCUGGCUUGUUAUUUCAAAAUUGCCAUGGUGUGUUUUCAUUAUAGUAUGUGGCUGU